Zea mays is the source of this 3105-nucleotide long non-coding RNA. RefSeq lists it as uncharacterized. Lineage: Eukaryota; Viridiplantae; Streptophyta; Magnoliopsida; Poales; Poaceae. The record is from RefSeq and is a predicted model, not a curated record. The transcript has 5 exons.
CGGGAAGCGGUCAAAGAGGGUGGUGUCCUACAAGAUAAGUCAAGCCAGUUGUUGGAGAUGCCUCAGGAAGAUAUUAAUCCACUGAAUCAGGCUCAGAUGCAUGGUGGAAGCACUAAGAAAUCGGCACCUGAUCUAUCCCCGACCAAACAGAAGAAGCAACAAGCAGUUCAAGAAAGGAAAAGGAAGCAACAGUCAAAGAGGGGAAAAAAGUGGCUGGUAUUACUUCUUCUAAUUCUACUUUAUAUUUAUACUUCGUUACUCCCUCCGAUUCUAUGUAUACUUGGCUCGUCAAUAUCAAUAUUGUAUAAAAAUUACAUAGAUUGACUAAUGGCUGAUGUUACUAGAUUCAUCAUGGAAAAUACCGUCAUAGUAUCUGACUUUCUUUGUUUAAUAUUAUAUAGUUAUACAGAAAUUGUAAAUCAAAGUGCUAAAUGACUUGUAUCUGGAACCAGGAGGGUCAGUUUCUAAUGCAUAAUGCAUGCGCACCACGAGGAUUCUUGUAAUACCAUCAUUCAGUUAUUAAUUGGCCAUUACUGUUGAUUGUUCUUAUCUAGGCUGAUACCUGCAUGGGUGUAUUAGAGAUGUUCGGGGGUCUUUAAAUAAGCAUAAUCAUGCUUUUGUUGUGUUUGAUCAAUCAUGUUCCAUUUCUUCCAUGUAUGACUUGUAUCUGGAACCAGGAGGGUCAGUUUCUAAUGCAUAAUGCAUGUGCACCACGAGGAUUCUUGUAAUACCAUCAUUCAGUUAUUAAUUGGCCAUUACUGUUGAUUGUUCUUAGCUAGGCUGAUACCUGCAUGGGGGUAUUAGAGAUGUUCGGGGGUCUUUAAAUAAGCAUAAUCAUGCUUUUGUUGUGUUUGAUCAAUCAUGUUCCAUUUCUUCCAUGUACCACUAGAUUAAAUCUUAUACAAGGGCAGCAUUUUUAGAGCAUGUUUUGGAUCCUAUACCCAACAACCUUGCCAGCGAGAAUAGCAAAGAUGAUUGGAUGCUUCUCUUACCUACUUUUGGGCUAGGAUUUCCUUGCGUUCAAGGGACACAUCACUCCUUUACUAGCGAGGUUUUCUUAUGGGGAAAACUGUGUAUAUACAGCUGAAGGUCAUCAUCACCUGGCCAACCUGGGCCUUAUUCUCUCUUUUUUUCAUUUCUUGGUGGCACACCUUUGUAUUUGAUUAUUCUCUUAUCUACUUAGCUUUGUUAAAUUACUUGAUUAUGUAUAACGGCUUAAUCUUUUUGUCUGGAGUGAUGAAGUGUAUUUUCUUUACAGGUGAAUCCCUGAAAAUACCCCCAAACAAAUUUUGAAUCGGAGAAUCAACCUCAUAAUGAUGAUGUCAACAUUGAGGUAGACUUCUUUUUUAGCUUCUAUACUGAAAUUCUUGUCUUAAAAUCUUAUGAAGUAAUAUACUGAGAGUGGCCAAAAAAGGUAGGUUUUUUUCUUGUUUACCAUGAUAAUCAUGCAUUAUUCAGGGCAAUGAGGGAUGAGUGGUCAUGUCGAACUUUGUAGAUGUGGUCAGACCAAUGAUUUCAAGUCGCCUGGUCGAACCCUGGGAUCGACCAGACGACUAGUCGCGAUUAGGCGAUGACUAGGGCGACUAGUCGACCCCUAGUCGGUCCUAGUCGGUCCCUGGUCGUCCUAGACUAGUAGUUAUACUUAUAUAGGUAUAUAUAUAAAUAUACAUGUAUACAUUAUAUAAAUUAGAACAAACAACUAGGAUAAACAAAGUAACAUAUUGCUUCAUUGUUUAGGGUUUAGGGUUAUUUAGGGUUUAGGGGGAGAAGUGGGGGAGCAGGAGGGACCUUCAGAUGAUGUGCUCAUCUCGUCACUAGUUCGCAGCCACCGCCGGUUGGAGACUGCAGCAGUGCAGCAGGCGAGCAGGACUGUAGGAGAAGGGGCAGGGGACGCAGGGUGUUGUAGCCGCCGGUGUAGCUGCUGGCAAUCAGGAGUUUAGGACUGCAGGGGCGGUGCCAAGGGGGGAGAGGAGAGGAGACGUGCAGGUUGGAGACUGUUGGUGGCUAGGUUAGAACAGGAGAGGAGAGGGUACUCUAAAUUAGACUGUAGAUGUGCUAAAAAGGCCAAAUAACUAAACCCUAGCCGGGAUGACCAGGACACAUAACUCGGACGACUAGUCGCCCUAGUCGACGAUUAGUCGGACGACCAGGACGACUAGGCCUUCUAGUCGAGUCGUCCAGCAAAUCGUGUCCUAAUUGCCGACCAGCCCGACUAAUCGCGAUUAAUCGCGAUUAGUCGGACGACUUGAAAUCAUUGGGUCAGACUAUGAUUUGUGUAGGGCCCUAUUUUUUUAUUCAAGUUGCAUGCACUGACGAGCACAGGAGUCAGCAACAAACAUAGAUAUUCCACGCACCUUUUUUAAUAAUGUGCGUGUUUUACUCUGAAGCUCGACAUUCAUAUGCUUCUUUGGUUUUUCAGAAACAGACAAUUACGAGUAGCACACCUUCACCAAAUGGUGCCAAGGGGCAAAAGAGAGCUCAAAGGAGAAACCAGACCAAAAAAAGGAAUCAAAGAAAAAUCCUUGGAGAUGCUGACCUUGCAUGCCAGCCUGGAGUGAGAAAAAGCUCAAGAACACGCUCAAGGCCUUUGGAGUAUUGGCUUGGUGAAAGAUUACUAUAUGGGCCUAUACAUGACAAUUUGCAUGGAGCUAUUGGCAUCAAAGCAUACUCCCCUGGCCAAGAUGGCAAGAGAUCAUUGAAAGUGAAAUCUUUCGUGCCUGAACAGUAUUCAGAUCUUGUUGCUAAAUCUGCAAGGUAUUGAAGCCAAGAUUUUCCAAAGAGGAUCACGCCUUGUGACCUGUUGCUUUGUCACCUCACUAUGUGAUGUUGACAUGUAUUGGUAGAACUGCAGUACUGCACAACGAAAUGCAUGUUAACUUAGGCAGGUAUCAAAUGGAUGAGUAUCUAGUUUGGAUGCGCUACUACCCAUUCGGCUACUCGCUACGUGGAGUCUAAGGUGUCAAUUGACAUUUGCAUGUAUACAUAGUGGUACUUGAUAGUAAGACAGUUUUAGGUUCAGACUCUUGAAAAUUGAUUUUGUUUUAGUCUUCUCGUUUCCAGAUUUAAGAUGCGAUACCACAGAUAAAAAUCUUGGGCAAUUGGAGG